Marmota monax (woodchuck) is the source of this 2142-nucleotide long non-coding RNA. RefSeq lists it as uncharacterized. NCBI's taxonomy places the organism in Eukaryota, Metazoa, Chordata, Mammalia, Rodentia, Sciuridae. The transcript has 4 exons. The record is from RefSeq and is a predicted model, not a curated record.
CCCAAUUGGAGUGAUUUCUUCGGUGUAAUUUCUCUUCUGUGGGUGGCCUGGAGUUUCAGGCUCUCAGGCUAUGAGUGACAUGAGCUUGAAGGGACCCUGGAAUAGAUUUCUUGAAAAUAGGUUUUUGAUGCUGCCUAACAUUCUUCAUGAAUGUGUCGGCUGUGAGGCCUGAAAAGACAAAGCACAGUGUGACCCAUGGCGGGUUGUAGGACCCUCUGUGUUACUGGGCAGUACUUUCCCAUUUGGGGUCAGAGGUCAGGUUAUACCGCUCUUCCUCCACAGACAUUUGGUGUCAAAUUAGUAGGAAAUUUUUUUGAAUAAAAGCUGGUUUUAUUCCAAUCCAGGUUUAAAGGAAGAUGGAAGAAACCUUUUGUCUCAAUAUCUCCAUCUUAUUAAAAGCUAAAAAAGACAGUUGGCCUUGAUUCAAAAGGAACAGGAGAGUCCCAAUUGAAUUCCGUUAGUUCCCUUCCUCCAGGAUUGGCUGGCCACAGGUGGUAUUAUAGUCCCUUAUGGCUGUCAUUCAGUUUCUAGCAGCCUUGCCCAGGGACCCUUCCUGGAUCCUGGCUAGCUGAAUUCAGCUGGGCACCUGUAUAAGAAAUAAGAAAUAGGCAAAGGAUGGAAAAAGGAAAAAUGAACUUUUGCACUUUGAUUGGGAGAGAAGCAGCGAGAUUGCUUCUCUACUCUAUAAAUCGGUUAUGAUUGAUAGAAGCAAGAGCCAGGUGAUAUUCAUAUGUAGAUAUAGCCAAGCAGUGUUAAUCAGAAAUGUGACAGUCUUAGCUGCCUUGGUGUCUGUUGAGCCAGAGGAUGUAGCCCUCCAGUCUUUACUCCCAGAGUGAGGAAUUUGUCCUCAGUGUCAGAAGGGCGCUGCAUUAGAGUCUGGUCUGGACUGGAAGGUGAAUGGUCAGCCCAGGUCUCUUGGGGACUGGGCGGUUACUGCCUUGUAGAAGCAUCUGUGACUCUACUCUGCUCCACUGGGCAGGAGGGGUUGGUUGGGAUUCGUGCAUGCAUGUGUGUGUGUGCUCUGCAUGUGAUGGUCCCCUGCCACACUGGGGGGAACCUAGCUAACACACUCCUCCAGAGUUACAUUUGACUACAUCAGUGACUUUGGCUUUCUGGGCAAAUCUGGACUCCUGGGGAAAAAAAAGUUUCUCUCUCCAAGCCUGCUCUAUGGUGCAGGAGGAGACACACAAUUGCCUUUGUUGUUUGUUCUUCCCGUGUGGGGACAAAAGCCCUUUCAGUUGGUGUGGAAUGUACAAGAGUUUUAUGCCAACGGCUGCUGGGUCUUGGCCUGGAAUCCUGCAGAUCAGGCUGAGUAGGGGAGUUGGUUGCUUCAUCCAAAGCUCCCCUGGGUCCUAUCUGCCAUAUCUCCAUGUGGUCAGGGUCUACCACAGGGGCCUCACUGCCCGCUCUGUCUUCUCUGAGUGUAGCUGUGAUCUCCUGUGACAUUCCUGUCCUCAUCAAGUGCUGAGAACCCGUGGCCUGUGCAGGGUCCCGCAUCUCCUAGGGUGCUGAAGCCAACCACAGAGUUGAACUUCGCUCUAAUUUCAAAAUGUCAACAAGCCUGUGCUACUGGGAAGUGCCCGGGAACAGACCUGCCACCAGCCCCAGGGGAGCCCCAGGGUGAUCCUGAAGGUACUUGGAACAGAGUAAGACUUUGACCUCUGCCUUUCAGGUGCUUUCAACCUAAAGGGGAAAGCAAAUACGGGUCAUCUGUGCUUGAAUAUUGAGAAGCCACCACCAUCAGCGGAUCCACAGAGACUCCAUCAGCUUUGGCUUCUUGGGAACUGGUAUUCUGGGGGCAGGGUCUGACCAGCAUGCAACAUAAUCCUUUCUCCAUUUUUUCCACAUUUGGGGCAGUUAAGACCAGCUGUGAAAUGCCCUGAGAAUGGGGAUGUGUUUGGAGAGGCUGCUGUGGGACACCAAAUGGAGCUAAAACUUGUCUGGAACUGCACUGUCCAAUAUGGUAGCCACUAACACUUUUGGUUAUGAAGCACUUGGUCUGUGGCCGCUCCAAGCUGAGAAAUGCUGUGAGGGUAAAAUACACACCACAUUUCAAAGACUUAUCACUUAAAAAAAGAAUAUACAUCGUCUCAUUAAUAUUUUAAAUAUUGACUAUAUGCUGAUAAAAUAUUUUGGAUAUUU